UACGAGGGGUGCAAGCGUUGUUCGGAAUCACUGGGCGUAAAGCGCACGUAGGCGGGUUUGUAAGUCAGAUGUGAAAGCCCCAGGCUUAACCUGGGAAUUGCAUUUGAAACUGCGAAUCUUGAAUGUCUGAGAGGAUGACGGAAUUCCUGGUGUAGAAGUGAAAUUCGUAGAUAUCAGGAGGAACACCGGAGGCGAAGGCGGUUGUCUGGCGGUACAUUGACGCUGAGGUGCGAAAGCGUGGGGAGCAAAC
RNAcentral lists this ribosomal RNA (250 nucleotides) under uncultured bacterium. Its description in RNAcentral is "partial 16S ribosomal RNA". It matches the Rfam family "Bacterial small subunit ribosomal RNA", at positions 524 to 773 of the family's 1533-position model. The record is from RNAcentral.